RNAcentral lists this long non-coding RNA (1180 nucleotides) under Sus scrofa (pig). RNAcentral's name for it is "lncRNA (ENSSSCG00025032080.1)". Lineage: Eukaryota; Metazoa; Chordata; Mammalia; Artiodactyla; Suidae. The record is from RNAcentral.
AUGAAAUUGGGAGAAAUGAGAAAAAGCACGUAUCUGAAAAUACCUUUCACCCAUUCACACCUGUUUGAAUAUUUCAGGCACCAUCUGCCAGCAGCUUCCCAUGUGGCCUAUGGAGGACAACUGCCGGGUGCCCAGGAAGUGCCACCAAAGGGCUUCGGGGCUCACAGUCUGAGGACGGACAGCCCACAGUUCACUCUGGAGUGUAGCUGUUGCCAGGUGUGGCUGGGCAGGGGUCAACAAGUUCCCGCUUGCCCCGCAGAAGAACCCACACUGGAACUGAAAGUGAGGAAAGCGUUGCGUAAGCCGUUCAGUGUCAUGAUGACUGCAGUUCAACGCCAGCCAAACUCAACUUAGGAGAUUGCUUCAGAGGCAACCAUUUCCUGGACAAAGAACGUGAAGAGACAGUUUACAAAAAAAGGAACUACAAUGCAUCGACUGAUACAUGGAAAAAUGGUUAGCUCCUCAGGUAUUCAAGAAAAUGCAAAUUCUGAUAAAGUCACUUUGCAAAACUAACCUGCGGUGUGAGAUGUCAGGACAGCAGUUACCCGUAGGUGGGGUGGAGGAGGGUGAAAAGGGGCCCAGCAGGGGCUUCUGAGCUUCUGGUCAUGUUGUUCUUGAUGGGGGUGCUGGUUAUUUAGGGGUGCUCACUUUGUGAAAAUACACCUAUGACUUGUAUACAUCUCUGGAUGUAUGAUAAACCUCAUUGUAAAGUUUAUAUAAGAAAUAAGCUCACUUUCUAUUAAGUUAGCAGCAAAAAAAAAAAAAAACUCCAGAAAUAUUCAUAUUUGUUAACUCAAUAAUUCUACUUCUGAGAUUCUAACUUAAGAAAGAAUCCCAAGUGUCAAAAAAGGCUUAAAUUGCAAUAUUGUUUUUAAUAACAAAAAGUACGUAUUAGUGAAACAUUGAAAGCAAUCUACAUGUUCAGCUAUAGGGCAAUGGUUAAGAAAACUUUGAGGAGUUCCCAUCAGGCUCAGUGGUUAAUGAACCCAACUAGCAUCCAUGAGGACACAGGUUCGAUCCCUGGCCUCACUCAGUGGGUUAAGGAUCCGCCAUGCUGUGAGCAGUGGUGUAGGUCACAGAUGUGGCUCGGAUCCUGCAUUGUGGCUGUGCCCUAGGCUGGCAGCUAUUAGUUCACAUUUGACCCCUCACCUGGGAACCUCCAUAUGCCCCACCCCACCCC